GCGCCAGACUCCUACGGGAGGCAGCAGUGGGGAAUAUUGCACAAUGGGGGAAACCCUGAUGCAGCGACGCCGCGUGAGUGAAGAAGUAUUUCGGUAUGUAAAGCUCUAUCAGCAGGGAAGAAAAUGACGGUACCUGACUAAGAAGCCCCGACUAACUACGUGCCAGCAGCCGCGGUAAUACGUAGGGGGCAAGCGUUAUCCGGAUUUACUGGGUGUAAAGGGAGCGUAGACGGCAUGGCAAGUCAGAUGUGAAAGCCCGGGGCUCAACCCCGGGACUGCAUUGGAAACUGUCCGGCUAGAGUGCAGGAGAGGUAAGUGGAAUUCCUAGUGUAGCGGUGAAAUGCGUAGAUAUUAGGAGGAACACCAGUGGCGAAGGCGGCUUACUGGACUGUAACUGACGUUGAGGCUCGAAAGCGUGGGGAGCAAACAGGAUUAGAUACCCGCGUAA
RNAcentral lists this ribosomal RNA (448 nucleotides) under uncultured bacterium. RNAcentral describes it as "bacterial SSU rRNA". It matches the Rfam family "Bacterial small subunit ribosomal RNA", at positions 328 to 793 of the family's 1533-position model. The record is from RNAcentral.